This 780-nucleotide ribosomal RNA is filed under the name uncultured Bacillota bacterium. Its description in RNAcentral is "bacterial SSU rRNA". It matches the Rfam family "Bacterial small subunit ribosomal RNA", at positions 1 to 799 of the family's 1533-position model. Lineage: Bacteria; Bacillati; Bacillota. The record is from RNAcentral.
AGGAGAGUUUGAUCCUGGCUCAGGACGAACGCUGGCGGCGUGCCUAACACAUGCAAGUCGAACGGAGUAAGAAUUUCGGUUUUUACUUAGUGGCGAACGGGUGAGUAACGCGUGAACAACCUGCCUUCCUGAGGGGGAUAACACCUGGAAACAAGUGCUAAUACCGCAUAAGACCACAGGGCCGCAUGACCCAGGGGUCAAAGGAGCAAUCCGCAGGGAGAGGGGUUCGCGUCCCAUUAGCUGGUUGGCGGGGCAACGGCCCACCAAGGCGACGAUGGGUAGCCGAGCUGAGAGGCUGAUCGGCCACACUGGAACUGAGACACGGUCCAGACUCCUACGGGAGGCAGCAGUGGGGAAUAUUGGGCAAUGGGCGCAAGCCUGACCCAGCAACGCCGCGUGAGGGAAGAAGGUCUUCGGAUUGUAAACCUCUGUCCUAUGUGACGAAGGAAGUGACGGUAGCAUAGGAGGAAGCCCCGGCUAACUACGUGCCAGCAGCCGCGGUAAUACGUAGGGGGCGAGCGUUGUCCGGAAUUACUGGGCGUAAAGGGUGCGUAGGUGGCACUUUAAGUUGGAUGUGAAAUCCCCGUGCUUAACAUGGGAGCUGCAUCCAAUACUGGAGAGCUAGAGUGCAGGAGAGGUAAGCGGAAUUCCUAGUGUAGCGGUGAAAUGCGUAGAUAUUAGGAGGAACACCAGUGGCGAAGGCGGCUUACUGGACUGUAACUGACACUGAGGCACGAAAGCGUGGGGAGCAAACAGGAUUAGAUACCCUGGUAGUCCCCU